Molecule: microRNA, 22 nt
Filed under: Homo sapiens (human)
Lineage: Eukaryota; Metazoa; Chordata; Mammalia; Primates; Hominidae
Description: hsa-miR-4654
Source: miRBase by way of RNAcentral
UGUGGGAUCUGGAGGCAUCUGG